UCCUGAAUAAACUGCUUUGAAGAAGAGUUGUGGUUGUGUUUCCUUGCUGGCCGAGGUAGACGCGAUGGUCCAGCUUCCAAAAGUGAAGUGCUAGAAGAAUCCAUUGUAUGACACCAGAAAUCUCUGAUUUGCCUUUGGGAAAUAUAGAAACUAUUUGGAAUUCCAGAAGAACAGCAAUUGCAAAGAGCUGAGGCUGUGAAGAAGCAUAUCAGGGAUUUUCUGGAUAGGAUGAUUGCUGAAGAGGAGGGAAGCCUCAUGAGACAGCUUUUCGAAAGCAUAUCUGUUGGAAACUGGGAAUUGUGCUGACACUGCCCCCUAAUGAUGGUUGGGAGAUGCAUGCCUAGCGUGGCCACUUCAUGGGUACCUCAUCUCUCUCUCCUCUGUUCUUUCCCUCCAAUAAUAAACACCAUGUGGCCUCAUUGA
Molecule: long non-coding RNA, 423 nt
Organism: Phodopus roborovskii (desert hamster)
Lineage: Eukaryota; Metazoa; Chordata; Mammalia; Rodentia; Cricetidae
Exons: 3
Source: RefSeq, a predicted model, not a curated record